Oncorhynchus tshawytscha (Chinook salmon) is the source of this 1394-nucleotide long non-coding RNA. The record is from Ensembl. NCBI's taxonomy places the organism in Eukaryota, Metazoa, Chordata, Actinopteri, Salmoniformes, Salmonidae.
CAGGAUGUUUUGAAAGUGAAAACAUGGACGACGAUUUCAAGACUUGCUGCUAUCGAAUACAGAUCGCCCCGUGAUCAAUCUAAUAGACUAUUAACGUUUAUUUAUACCUAAAGUUGGUUUAGAAAAGCAAUUUGAAGUGAUUUGUAAAAGUUUAUAGGUAACUUUUGUAAUUUUAAAAAGUGACGUUGCGUCAUGUAAAGGGGCAUUUUUCUGGAUCAGACCGGUCGUCAGCAAAUCACAUUUUGGGUAUACAAUGACGGAUUUAAUCGGGAAAAAGACCCAAUUGUGAUGUUUAUGUGACAUAUAGGAGUGCCAAGAAAGAAGCUCGUCAAAGAAUCCGCAGGAGGAGUCCAGGCCGCCGAAUCAGCUGGAGGAGUCCAGGCCGCCGAAUCAGCUGGAGGAGUCCAGGCCGAAUCAGCUGGAGGAGUCCAGGCCGCCGAAUCAGCUGGAGGAGUCCAGGCCGCCGAAUCAGCUGGAGGAGUCCAGGCCGCCGAAUCAGCUGGAGGAGUCCAGGCUGUUGAAUCAGCAGGAGGAGUCCAGGCUGUUGAAUUAGCAGGAGGAGUCCAGGCUGUUGAAUUAGCAGGAGGAGUCCAGGCUGUUGAAUCAGCAGGAGGAGUCCAGGCUGUUGCUGCUCAGGAUAGUUACUAUUACAGUCAGUUCUACAGCUUAAUCAUUCAACUUUAUUUCCAUGGUUCUGAAUACAUUAUCAUAACAACAGCCAGGGAUCUGCAUAGUUGUGUUUAUUCAAGUGUGUGUGUGUGUGUGCUGUCUACACGUGUUCAUUGUUGAGGAAAUAACAUAGUAGACUUAUCUCAGGUAGGUAGGAUUACACACACACACACAUGUUGAGUUUACGUCCACGUGUGUGUGUGACUGAGGAGAAGUGUUUUGCUCUGCGUUGGGCAGAAUAGGAUGUAUUCCUUUAUGUCUGUGAGUACUGGUUUAUCGAUGCUACGUGACUGUUUUAGAGGAGCAGGGUUGAAUGAGUUCACAAAGCUGUUAGCUCAAGUUCUCUGUGUCCCUCCCUCCCACUCUCUUUCCACACUGUAAACACUCCCCCCCCCCUCUCUACAUCUCCCCCUCGCUCUCUCAAUUUUUCAAUUCAAUUUCAGGGGCUUGUGGCAACAGGUCACAAAUCUUGCUGUCGUGAUGGCACACUGUGGUACUUCACCCAGUAGAUAUGGGAGUUCAUCAAAAUUGGGUUUGUUUUCAAAUUCUUUUGCUGGUCUGUGUAAUCUGAGGUAAAUAUGUGUCUCUAAUAUGGUCAAACACUUGGCAGGAGGUUAGGAAGUGCAGCUCAGUUUCCACCUCAUUUUGUGGGCAGUGUUGCACAUAGCCUAUUUUCUACUGCGAGCCAGGUCUCGCUCUCCAUUCCUACUCUCUCCUUUCCCCCC